Non-coding RNA from Motacilla alba alba, 971 nucleotides. Lineage: Eukaryota; Metazoa; Chordata; Aves; Passeriformes; Motacillidae. The record is from the annotation of a RefSeq genome assembly.
AUGAACAGUGACCCCAGAGAGCUGAGGACACCUCGGGAGGGUGAGAAACCUCAGCGGGGAAGGAGCCCCUGAGCUCCCAAGCGCCCAGGCCUGGGAGUGCAGCAGAGCUGGCCAUUGCAGCUGCGGAGGUGAGGACUCCAGUGCGAGCUGAGCGGGAACAGCCCCUUCCCAUCACUGAGGCCGCAGGGGCACGGGAUGCUCCCAGUGCCAAUGGCUGAGGGAGCCUCGGGGGCUGCUGCUGGAGGAGCGACAAACGCACACGGAGCAUUUCAGGCACGGCAAGGACAGGGCACUGCUCUGCCUGCUCCCGCCGCCGCUUCCUUUGCUCCCGCCCACAGGCGUUCCCGGCAGCUCUGCUCUCUCGGCGCUCGGACGUGCUUUGGGCUCUUCCUCACUCGGCAAACACGCAGCUUGGUCUCGCCAUGCACCUGGCACAUCUCAUCCUCACCGUCUUCCUGGGCCAGCUCCUGGUGGCUGUGGCUAGAGCCCAGGUGCAGCAGGAGCCAUUCCUGGAGACCACCGAGGGCACCGGCAUCAACAUCACCUGCUCACACUCCAGCAAACGGAUGGGCGAUACGAUCCAUUUCUACCGUCAGCUCCCAGGCCAAGGCCCCGAAUUCCUCGUCCUCGCUGCUAGAGGCUCCAAGGAUGCGCCGGGCAUUGCAGGAACGCUGUCGGUGUCGGAGGACGGGCGCUGGAGCGCGCUGUGGCUGGCUGCGCCCCGGCGCGGGGACGCGGCCGUGUAUUACUGCGCGCUGGGGACCACGGGCAGAGGAGCCGGGGCUGCGGCCGGGCACGAACCGCCGCGGGCGGGGCCGGGCGGGGCCAGCAGGGGCCGCUGCCGCUCCGCCCGCCGGGCUCCCGGGGCGCGGCUCCGCAGCUCCUUCCUCUGCCCCGAGCCCGCCCGCACCGACAGCGCCGAUGGCACCGAAAAGGCCGACACGCUCCGGGACUGCUGGCCCUCCCUUUAA